RNAcentral lists this long non-coding RNA (511 nucleotides) under Equus asinus (donkey). RNAcentral's name for it is "lncRNA (ENSEASG00005024040.1)". The record is from RNAcentral. Lineage: Eukaryota; Metazoa; Chordata; Mammalia; Perissodactyla; Equidae.
CACAGAGAAGCAGAGCAAAGACACAGGGAGAAGGAAGAACUCAUCCCUCCUCCUCAGGUCCCCACUGCGAGGAGGAACGUGCAGAGGCCCAGAUGGGAAGGAGGCCUGGGACAGCUGAGGCUCUCUGGGACCUGGACCUCUUUGUUGCUCCUGCUUUGGCCUGAAAAGCUCCCCUGAGCCUUCAGGAAGGGCAUGCAGCCAAAGGCCCAUCGAGAAGGAAUGGUAGCUCCCAGUCAUUGAGGACUUACCUUGUGUUGGAGGCCUUGUGUGUACUUCCCAACACACCUGUAUGGUGUGGACGAUGACUGAUUGACACAGGGGGACAAAGCCUGGCCUGCUUACCUCAAGGGGGGACAACUCUGGACCAUUCACCCCCCGGAGUUCCCCAUGGGAUCAGGCUGAGGUUAGACUCUGCUCAGACUCCAUCCUUGUGGAGCAUCUUCCCCGCCCUGUCCUGCUUCCCUCCUUCCCCUUCUCCUGAGAUCAUUUCCUCAGUAAACAUGUGCUCAAG